This is a long non-coding RNA of Prionailurus viverrinus (fishing cat), 549 nucleotides long. RefSeq lists it as uncharacterized. Lineage: Eukaryota; Metazoa; Chordata; Mammalia; Carnivora; Felidae. The record is from RefSeq and is a predicted model, not a curated record. The transcript is spliced from 5 exons.
CAGGAGGAUCAUCUGAUUCCAGACCAUGGUUGAUAACAGAUAACUGCAGGUAACUGCAGGAAGGAAAGCACAGCUUUGACCCAAGGAUGGACUGAAUUGGGAAACUCCAUUGUGAGCACGCACAGCAAAAUUUCAAGAAAACCUAUCUUUCUUGCAAAAGAUCAGCAGAGGCCCCUUCUCAGCCUUUCCCCAAGUCCAGCUAUAAUCACAGAGCUGUAUUGUUAUGGUGGAGGUAAGAGGAGCCUCAUCACAUGGAACUACAUGGCAGUUCAAGAGGACCUCAUCUGAAAGAACUCUGUAUUACAUUCUAUCCAGAAGAACCAGAAAAAGAGCCUCUUGGAGCCAGACUAUGGAGAAAUCCUGAACUGCAGAGAAUGGAAUAGGACAGUUCCUUCUAUCCUUGUAACCUGAAAAAUGGUAAUUCUGCUUCCUUUGACCUACAGAUCCGUCAGGGAACAAUUAUAAGAAUAUACAUGUGCUGGCUGUAACAAGAACAUAUUUCAUGGACUAAAAGGUGAACUUUAAAUAGAGGCUGCAUGUUAUAGAGAC